RNAcentral lists this ribosomal RNA (450 nucleotides) under uncultured bacterium. RNAcentral's name for it is "partial 16S ribosomal RNA". It matches the Rfam family "Bacterial small subunit ribosomal RNA", at positions 354 to 796 of the family's 1533-position model. The record is from RNAcentral.
GUAGGGAAUCUUCGGCAAUGGACGAAAGUCUGACCGAGCAACGCCGCGUGAGUGAAGAAGGUUUUCGGAUCGUAAAACUCUGUUGGUAGAGAAGAACGUUGGUGAGAGUGGAAAGCUCAUCAAGUGACGGUAUCUAACCAGAAAGGGACGGCUAACUACGUGCCAGCAGCCGCGGUAAUACGUAGGUCCCAAGCGUUGUCCGGAUUUAUUGGGCGUAAAGCGAGCGCAGGUGGUUUCUUAAGUCUGAUGUAAAAGGCAGUGGCUCAACCAUUGUGUGCAUUGGAAACUGGUAGACUUGAGUGCAGGAGAGGAGAGUGGAAUUCCAUGUGUAGCGGUGAAAUGCGUAGAUAUAUGGAGGAACACCGGUGGCGAAAGCGGCUCUCUGGCCUGUAACUGACACUGAGGCUCGAAAGCGUGGGGAGCAAACAGGAUUAGAUACCCCUGUAGUCC